Molecule: ribosomal RNA, 425 nt
Filed under: Cytobacillus firmus
Lineage: Bacteria; Bacillati; Bacillota; Bacilli; Caryophanales; Bacillaceae
Description: bacterial SSU rRNA
Rfam family: Bacterial small subunit ribosomal RNA
Source: RNAcentral
AGGGAAUCUUCCGCAAUGGACGAAAGUCUGACGGAGCAACGCCGCGUGAGUGAUGAAGGUUUUCGGAUCGUAAAACUCUGUUGUUAGGGAAGAACAAGUACCGGAGUAACUGCCGGUACCUUGACGGUACCUAACCAGAAAGCCACGGCUAACUACGUGCCAGCAGCCGCGGUAAUACGUAGGUGGCAAGCGUUGUCCGGAAUUAUUGGGCGUAAAGCGCGCGCAGGCGGUUCCUUAAGUCUGAUGUGAAAGCCCCCGGCUCAACCGGGGAGGGUCAUUGGAAACUGGGGAACUUGAGUGCAGAAGAGAAGAGUGGAAUUCCACGUGUAGCGGUGAAAUGCGUAGAGGUGUGGAGGAACACCAGUGGCGAAGGCGACUCUUUGGUCUGUAACUGACGCUGAGGCGCGAAAGCGUGGGGAGCAAAC